CCUACGGGCGGCAGCAGUGAGGAAUAUUGGUCAAUGGACGAGAGUCUGAACCAGCCAAGUAGCGUGAAGGAUGACUGCCCUAUGGGUUGUAAACUUCUUUUAUAUGGGAAUAAAACGUUCCACGUGUGGGAUUUUGUAUGUACCAUAUGAAUAAGGAUCGGCUAACUCCGUGCCAGCAGCCGCGGUAAUACGGAGGAUCCGAGCGUUAUCCGGAUUUAUUGGGUUUAAAGGGAGCGUAGGUGGAUUGUUAAGUCAGUUGUGAAAGUUUGCGGCUCAACCGUAAAAUUGCAGUUGAAACUGGCAGUCUUGAGUACAGUAGAGGUGGGCGGAAUUCGGGGUGUAGCGGUGAAAUGCUUAGAUAUCACGAAGAACUCCGAUUGCGAAGGCAGUUCACUGGACUGCAACUGACACUGAGGCUCGAAAGUGUGGGUAUCAAACAGGAUUAGAUACCCUGGUAGUC
This 460-nucleotide ribosomal RNA is filed under the name uncultured bacterium. RNAcentral describes it as "partial 16S ribosomal RNA". It matches the Rfam family "Bacterial small subunit ribosomal RNA", at positions 338 to 795 of the family's 1533-position model. The record is from RNAcentral.